This 596-nucleotide ribosomal RNA is filed under the name uncultured fungus. Its description in RNAcentral is "eukaryotic LSU rRNA". It matches the Rfam family "Eukaryotic large subunit ribosomal RNA", at positions 40 to 647 of the family's 3401-position model. Lineage: Eukaryota; Fungi. The record is from RNAcentral.
AUAUCAGUAAGCGGAGGAAAAGAAACUAACGAGGAUUCCCUCAGUAACGGCGAGUGAACGGGGAAGAGCCCAGCGCUAAAUCCUGUUGCUCUAACGGGUAACGGGAGGUGUAGCGUAUAGUAGGCGAAUUUCCUUGAUGGCUGUCGACUUAAAUUCUCCUUGACUGGGGUUCCAGAGAAGGUGAAAGGCCUGUUCAGUCGAUGGCCGUCUUGGAUUCCGUUCUACUUGGAGUCGGGUUGUUUGGGAACGCAGCCCAAAUUGGGUGGUAAAUUUCAUCUAAAGCUAAAUAUUGGCCAGAGACCGAUAGCGCACAAGUAGAGUGAUCGAAAGAUGAAAAGCACUUUGGAAAGAGAGUUAAACAGUACGUGAAAUUGUUGAAAGGGAAGCGCUUGCAACCAGACUUGCACGCAGUUAAUCAUCCGGGGUUCUCCUCGGUGCACUUGACUGCGUUCAGGCCAGCAUCGGUUCGGGCGGUGGGAUAAAGGCCUUGGGAAUGUAGCUUCUUUCGGGGAGUGUUAUAGCCCUCGGUGCAAUGCCACCUGUCUGGACCGAGGACCGCGCUUCGGCUAGGAUGCUGGCGUAAUGGUUGUAAGCGA